RNAcentral lists this transfer RNA (76 nucleotides) under Thermofilum sp. Its description in RNAcentral is "tRNA-Val". It matches the Rfam family "tRNA". Rfam says of the family: Transfer RNA (tRNA) molecules are approximately 80 nucleotides in length. The record is from RNAcentral. Lineage: Archaea; Thermoproteati; Thermoproteota; Thermoprotei; Thermofilales; Thermofilaceae.
GGGCCCGUGGCCUAGUGGCUAUGGCACCACCCUGACGCGGUGGGGGUCCCGGGUUCGAAUCCCGGCGGGCCCACCA